Molecule: ribosomal RNA, 267 nt
Filed under: uncultured bacterium
Lineage: Bacteria
Description: partial 16S ribosomal RNA
Rfam family: Bacterial small subunit ribosomal RNA
Source: RNAcentral
GUCCUAGCCGUAAACGGUGCACGUUUGCUGUAAAAGGAAUCGACCCCUUUUGUGGCGUAGCCAACGCGUUAAACGUGCCGCCUGGGAAGUACGGUCGCAAGAUUAAAACUCAAAGAAAUUGACGGGGGCCUGCACAAGCGGUGGAGUAUGUGGCUCAAUUCGAUGCAACGCGAAGAACCUUACCUGGCCUUGACAUGCAUAUAGUAGAAGGGUGAAAGCCUGACGAGGUAGCAAUACCAGUAUGCACAGGUGCUGCAUGGCUGUCGU